This 303-nucleotide ribosomal RNA is filed under the name uncultured bacterium. RNAcentral describes it as "partial 16S ribosomal RNA". It matches the Rfam family "Bacterial small subunit ribosomal RNA", at positions 355 to 650 of the family's 1533-position model. The record is from RNAcentral.
UAGGGAAUCUUCCACAAUGGACGCAAGUCUGAUGGAGCAACGCCGCGUGAGUGAAGAAGGCUUUCGGGUCGUAAAACUCUGUUAUUGAAGAAGAACGUGCGUGACAGUAACUGGUCAUGCAGUGACGGUAUUCAAUCAGAAAGUCACGGCUAACUACGUGCCAGCAGCCGCGGUAAUACGUAGGUGGCAAGCGUUGUCCGGAUUUAUUGGGCGUAAAGCGAGUGCAGGCGGUCUUUUAAGUCUGAUGUGAAAGCCUUCGGCUUAACCGAAGAAGGGCAUCGGAAACUGGGAGACUUGAGUGCA